AGAAAAGUUUUAUUUUUUUUGAGACAGAAUCUCGUUGUGUUACCCAGGCUGGAGUGAAGUGGCAUGAUCGUGGCUCACUGCAGUCUCUUCCUCCCAGAUUUAAGCAAUUCUCCUGUGUCAGCAUCCCAAGGAGCUGAGAUUACAGUGUUCCUGGUGUAACCUCUGUGAAAUGAAGCUAUGAAGACUCUUGACCACCAGUGAGAGAUGUGUAACCAAUAAAAGUAUGAUGAGUUCUGCUGCCUCUGCAGAAUGCAACCAGG
RNAcentral lists this long non-coding RNA (260 nucleotides) under Callithrix jacchus (white-tufted-ear marmoset). Its description in RNAcentral is "lncRNA (ENSCJAG00000079547.1)". The record is from RNAcentral. Lineage: Eukaryota; Metazoa; Chordata; Mammalia; Primates; Cebidae.